CAAGAAUUGCCGAAAGGCUCCCUACAAACCAUCGCGAAUCUUAUCCCUACGUUGCCUCGGCGCUGGCGGUCCGAGCCCUCGGGGCCCCGCAGCCCUCGGCUCUCCGCUCGCGGUAAGGGCAUGCCCGCCGGAGUGCCGAACUAACUCUUGAUAUCUAUAGUGGUCUCUCUGAGUAACACUUUAAAUAAGUCA
This 192-nucleotide unclassified non-coding RNA is filed under the name soil metagenome. RNAcentral describes it as "partial internal transcribed spacer 1". The record is from RNAcentral.